GCCCUCUCCGGAUAGCACCUGGAGAGUUUUCAGUACCCUUCCAGUUUUGUCUAUGAGAGGGAGAGUCAAGCAGAGGCACACUCAUUCCAUUCCUAGCUUAGGCAGUGGCUGGUGAGUGGAAGACAAUCUACCACAAGU
Molecule: small nucleolar RNA, 138 nt
Organism: Ornithorhynchus anatinus (platypus)
Lineage: Eukaryota; Metazoa; Chordata; Mammalia; Monotremata; Ornithorhynchidae
Source: RefSeq, a predicted model, not a curated record